CAGCCCUUGACAUGCCCGGCUACUUGCAGAGAUGCAAGGUUCCCUUCGGGGACCGGGACACAGGUGCUGCAUGGCUGUCGUCAGCUCGUGUCGUGAGAUGUUGGGUUAAGUCCCGCAACGAGCGCAACCCUCGCCCUUAGUUGCCAGCAUUCAGUUGGGCACUCUAAGGGGACUGCCGGUGAUAAGCCGAGAGGAAGGUGGGGAUGACGUCAAGUCCUCAUGGCCCUUACGGGCUGGGCUACACACGUGCUACAAUGGUGGUGACAGUGGGCAGCGAGCACGCGAGUGUGAGCUAAUCUCCAAAAGCCAUCUCAGUUCGGAUUGCACUCUGCAACUCGAGUGCAUGAAGUUGGAAUCGCUAGUAAUCGCGGAUCAGCAUGCCGCGGUGAAUA
RNAcentral lists this ribosomal RNA (392 nucleotides) under uncultured soil bacterium. RNAcentral describes it as "bacterial SSU rRNA". It matches the Rfam family "Bacterial small subunit ribosomal RNA", at positions 975 to 1368 of the family's 1533-position model. The record is from RNAcentral.